This 492-nucleotide ribosomal RNA is filed under the name uncultured bacterium. RNAcentral's name for it is "partial 16S ribosomal RNA". It matches the Rfam family "Bacterial small subunit ribosomal RNA", at positions 29 to 507 of the family's 1533-position model. The record is from RNAcentral.
AGUGAACGCUGGCGGUAGGCCUAACACAUGCAAGUCGAACGGCAGCACAGUAAGAUCUUGCUCUUACGGGUGGCGAGUGGCGGACGGGUGACGAAUACAUCGGAAUCUACUUUUUCGUGGGGGAUAACGUAGGGAAACUUACGCUAAUACCGCAUACGACCUACGGGUGAAAUCAGUGGAUAUUCGGACCUUUCGCGAUUGAAUGAGCCGAUGUCGGAUUAGCUAGUUGGCGGGGUAAAGGCCCACCAAGGCGACGAUCCGUAGCUGGUCUGAGAGGAUGAUCAGCCACACUGGAACUGAGACACGGUCCAGACUCCUACGGGAGGCAGCAGUGGGGAAUAUUGGACAAUGGGCGCAAGCCUGAUCCAGCCACACCGCGUGGGUGAAGAAGGCCUUCGGGUUGUAAAGCCCUUUUGUUGGGAAAGAAAAGCAGCAGGUUAAUACCCCGCUGUUCUGACGGUACCCAAAGAAUAAGCACCGGCUAACUUCGUG